RNAcentral lists this long non-coding RNA (3728 nucleotides) under Manacus vitellinus (golden-collared manakin). RNAcentral's name for it is "lncRNA (ENSMVIG00005008515.1)". Lineage: Eukaryota; Metazoa; Chordata; Aves; Passeriformes; Pipridae. The record is from RNAcentral.
UUCCACCAUCUGACAAGCCUGGAAGUUGCUGGGAGCCCUAAUGAACUCAGUCCAUUAGAUCCCAGCUGGGUUUCAACACCGUGGACUGGCUUCUGUCACGAAGCUUCAGUGGAGGAGAAGCUGUUUGAUGGGGGGGGUUGAUGGUUUGCAGGUUCUGUCCGACCCCAGGGUGCAAAGGCAACACAGCCUCUGUGUCCUGGGGUUCCUUUGUGUGUGCACAGGCAGGGGAAGCACCAGCUCCUUCCCAGCUUUCAUCCCCCAUAAAUGGAUCUGCAGGGGAUCACUCCAAUGACAGGAAUGACACCGAGACGGUGUAUCAGCUCUGCGGGGUGCAGGGCAACAUCAGAGACAAAAAAAACCAACACAAAACCCCAAAUCCAACAUCCAAAUCUCUUUAUCCCCAGACUGGCUCGGUCCAAACCCACGGAUAUUAAGAAAGAAUUCUUCCCUGUGAGGGUGGGGAGGCCCUGCCACAGGUUGCCCAGAGAAACUGGCUGCCCCAUCCCUGGAAGUGUCCAAGGAUGGGGCUCUGAGUGACCUGGUCAGGUGGAAGGUGUCCCUGCCCAUGGCAGGGGGGCAGAACGAGAUGGGCUUUAAGGUCCCUUCCAUCCCAAACUGUUCCAUGAUUCUCAGAUUCUAUCAGUGUAGGCACCUGAUAAUCCAUCCCAAUUUAUGGCAAGACUCUCACCUUCAGAAAUACCAACCAUGUUUUCUUCUCACUGCUCACGUUCCUGGCUCCACAGCAAAGCUUCAAGCGUGGCAGAAGCCUUUGAGGAGAGGAGGGGGCUGCUUUCUGCUCCUGAGGGGCUCCCAAACACAGGCAGCUGAUGAGGGCAUGUGGUGCUGCCUCACACCAGCAAGAGGAGGGAGAGAACAAAGCCAACAGCUCAGGACCCGAGAAAGAAAAGGAAACAUGAUCAGGACAAGAAGCCAAGAUUUCUCAGUUCCACCAGGAUUUAGAAGUAAUCUCUUCGAUAAAAUUGUUUGCAUUGCAGCAGCACGUCCAGCGCUCCGGCCCUCCAAACAUGGGCACAGAAACUCCUCCACCUUCUCCAAACCUCACAGCCUGAGGCAGCACGGCAGUGACAAGGGAAUGACGUCCCAAAGCCCUGGUGUGGCCACAGCAGGACUGAGAACUGAGCCCAAACCUCCUGAGUCACCCAUUAAAAAAGCAGCUGCAGCCCUCAGUGAAGCCACUUGUGCCCUGCAGACGGGGAGAACAACAAUCCUGCGGGGCAGCACCAAAGAUUUCCCAAAUCUUCCCACCUUCCUGGUUAUCUGCAGCACAAGCUCUACCUGCUCAGGCUGAAAUUCUGGUAUUUCAGAUCACUGGGUAUUUGAUUUUGCAAUUUUAAUUAUCACCUCUUUACCCCAGUGGCGUUUCUGUGCAAUGAUCACUCCGAGACACUCUCCAGGCUCCUACCAGGUGAUAAGAGCCAUUUAGAGCCAAAAGUUUAGGCACAACACCAAGAUAGAUAACAGAGGACUGGAGCCAUCCCUCUGCCCCACAGCCCAGCCCAGGACAAGGGCUGUGCAAACCCACCCAGGCUCUGCACAGCAACUCUCUGAGCAUCAACACUGCCGAGAUUUUCCCCUUUUAAAUCCUUCACUUCUGUCCCAGCCACGAAUCCCAGAAUUCCUAGGUGACCUGCAUCAUUUCCCCAGCUCAUCCCUGCAGCAAGAUGGGCAACAGGAUGGCAAUGGAGCCAUGAAUGGAGUAAGGAGGCAUUGCCAUGGAAGGGGUUAACACACUUUCCUAGACCCAUCCUAAUGAGCUGCACAAGAGCUUUCUGUGAUUCAGGUUUCCUUUACUGAUUUACCACUUACCCUGGAUAAGCAAAUGAGCAAUUAGCAGAGCUGCAUCUGUGAUGUCAUUUAAAUUCAAAUGAUACUCUGGCUGCUCAUUAAUAGCAGGAUGUGCAGCUCCAGAGGAUAAACCCAAACCCUCUCAGCAGAAGGUAGAAAUCCCCUUCUCCCAGGAGGAUGGGGGGAUCUGCCCAGGAACAUCGGGCUGGUUUCAGGGGACUCAUCCCAGGGGCUCCCAGAGCAUCCUGGCAAACCCCCCUGCUUUGUUCAGGAAGGUCCCUGCAGCCCUGUGCCCACCAUCUGCCUUGGCACCGUGCUGCUCACCCACCUGGCACCUCGGAAUCCACCAGGCUCUGCAUCCAUGGGCACAAUCCAGGGGGAGAUUCAACCUGCACAACUUCAGCCCAGCAGGACAAGUCCCUGUUUCUGGCACAGCAAACCUGUGUGAGGUUUGGCUCCAUCCAGGGGUGACAACAGGGGGAAGUAGAGCUUUUAUAACCUGGAGAGCAGAUGUUCACCUUCAGGGCAGGUGGGAGUGUGGGGCUCAGAGGAUGCAGGACUGGGCAUUGUUGCCUGAUCAUGGGAAUUUAAACCUGCAGCAUCAUUUUGGCUUACCCAAAAAUCCAGGGAGCUGGGGCCCCUUCCCUGUCAGAGCUGGGCACCUGCAGGGCUCACAACAGUGGCAUUCAGGGACCUGGGGAAGGUCCCAGCAGAGCUGGUGCCACAGCCAGGCCGAGUGGGGCAAAGGGAGCUGCAAAGGACCUGGGCAUGGCCUGUCCCACACUUUUUUGGGGGUGAAUGGCCUGGCCAGUAGGGCAUUUCUUCUGCCACUUGCUCUUACCCCUCCAGCUGCAAAGAUUCAUUUCUCUCCUCUGUUUCCCUCCCCAAGUCAGAACUUCAUCCAGUUUUGGGAUCUGCCCAUGGGGGACCCAGCAUUGGGUGCCUCGAGGAACAUUAGGAAAAGCUUUACAGGAGGAAACUCAUCCCAGAGCCCUGGGGUAUCCCUGGCACAGCCCAGUGGUACUGGCAGGUUCCUGCUCCUCAGCCUCUCUGCAGCAAAACUCUCCUCCUAAACUGCCAAAAGAACACAAUGUGAAUCACAUGAGUUUCACCAAGCAUUUUAUCAACAGGAAUCUUCAUGACAUCACCGGGGAAUGCUGGGGACACUGAGGCAGGAGGGGGCUGGUCCCACGAGCUGCCCGGCUUUACACAGCAGUGUCAGCAGACCCAGCUCAUCCCCCUCCUCCCCCAGCAAAGAUCACCCAGAAAGGACACCGAGCAGGAAAUUAGAUUAACGUUUGCUGCAGUGUCUCCAGGCUGCUGUGCUGGGCUGAGGGCAGGGAGGAAGGAAGCAGCAGCUGGAGAAGGGCCAAAUCCCCACUGGCAACGCGGCCGACCUUGGGACGAGGUGCUCUGCACAUGCUGCCCUUCGGGUGAGGAUGUAGCAAAGCCUUGUCACUGGAGAGCAGCUCCCUCAGCUGAUCCAGUGCAGGAUGGAGACCCUGGGGUGACUCAACUGCUGGGAUGCAGGGCUAAAACAGUCUCAGCCCCUGGGGAGGGUGGAAGGCUUUUUUUCAGCAGAGGGAUUUACCCUGCGGUAACCCAGGGAACCCACAGACCACUGACACGAGCCCUGUCCCCGUGGAGAUCCUCCCCUCCUGGUAAUGCCCUGUUCUCCCACAAAACAUGUGAAUUACUCCAUUUUCACACAACUACCUUCACUUCUCUCUGCCCUGGGUAACAGUGAGGUGUUCACUUUCCUCAUCUGGAAAGAAGAGUUGAACUGAAAGCAGAGUCUGCCUCCUCCUGCAGCCACAGGGACGGCUCCCUUUAUCCUCCCCCAUAAAUAAUAGAAGGAUUCAUUCACAGGCUUGUAACAGAUUAAAAAUAAAUAAAUAAAAAAGUGCUUGAUUUUGUUUUGC